RNAcentral lists this ribosomal RNA (429 nucleotides) under Bacteroidota bacterium. RNAcentral's name for it is "Bacteroidetes bacterium partial 16S ribosomal RNA". It matches the Rfam family "Bacterial small subunit ribosomal RNA", at positions 355 to 776 of the family's 1533-position model. The record is from RNAcentral. Lineage: Bacteria; Pseudomonadati; Bacteroidota.
UAGGGAAUCUUCCGCAAUGGGCGAAAGCCUGACGGAGCAACGCCGCGUGAGUGAUGAAGGUCUUCGGAUCGUAAAACUCUGUUAUUAGGGAAGAACAAAUGUGUAAGUAACUAUGCACGUCUUGACGGUACCUAAUCAGAAAGCCACGGCUAACUACGUGCCAGCAGCCGCGGUAAUACGUAGGUGGCAAGCGUUAUCCGGAAUUAUUGGGCGUAAAGCGCGCGUAGGCGGUUUUUUAAGUCUGAUGUGAAAGCCCACGGCUCAACCGUGGAGGGUCAUUGGAAACUGGUUGACUUGAGUGCAGAAGAGGAGAGUGGAAUUCCAUGUGUAGCGAUGAAAUGCGUAGAUAUAUGGAGGAACACCAGUGGCGAAGGCGACUCUCUGGUCUGUAACUGACGCUGAGGCUCGAAAGCGUGGGUAGCAAACAGG